Molecule: ribosomal RNA, 305 nt
Filed under: uncultured bacterium
Lineage: Bacteria
Description: bacterial SSU rRNA
Rfam family: Bacterial small subunit ribosomal RNA
Source: RNAcentral
UUCCUACGGGAGGCAGCAGUGAGGAAUAUUGGUCAAUGGACGGAAGUCUGAACCAGCCAUUCCGCUUUCAUUCUUCCUUCUCUAUGAGUUGUAAACUGCUUUUGUAUUAGGGUAAACACCCCUACGUGUAGGGGCUUGAAAGUAUAAUACGAAUAAGGAUCGGCUAACUCCGUGCCAGCAGCCGCGGUAAUACGGAGGAUCCAAGCGUUAUCCGGAUUUAUUGGGUUUAAAGGGUGCGUAGGCGGUUUGAUAAGUUAGAGGUGAAAUACCGGUGCUCAACACCGGAACUGCCUCUAAUACUGUUG